Non-coding RNA from Zonotrichia albicollis (white-throated sparrow), 477 nucleotides. The record is from RefSeq and is a predicted model, not a curated record. Lineage: Eukaryota; Metazoa; Chordata; Aves; Passeriformes; Passerellidae.
CUGUGGAGAGAAUGUCAAAGAAGUUCAAGGAUUUCCUACAUGCAUUUUUCCACUGGAUGAACUCAACUUUGCUCAGAUUUCUUCACUUUUCCUGACAUGCCCAACUGGAAUUGCAGGAGGAAUCCUGGCCAGGGGCAGGGCCUGGACACUGGGAUGCUGCUGCUGAGGUCCUGGUGGAGAAAUCACCGUGUGUGGCUGACCCAGCUGAGCUCCACCUCUCCCCAGAGCUGUGUUUGCCAUGGGAGCACAUCUGUUCUGGCUUCUCCACCUAUUUCUGAAGGAUGUUUUCAUGCCAAAGAGGGAAAAAGAAAUCCUAACAAAUAGCAAGUUCAUGGAGUGCUUGAAUCUGAGGAUACGUUCAAGUGCAGACAUAACAUCAGGAACCCUUGUUCAAACAAAACCCUCCUGGAGUGACUGCAAUUAAACCAAGAAAGGACGUGGACCUGGUCUUUAUUUUUGAUCUCUUGCCUCUGCAGU